CUUCUUUCGCAACGCCCACUUUCAGACACUCCACGUAAAAAUGGUUACCCAUGACUCAACAUUUUAAAGACAGCAUGAAGUGUUCGAGCAGCAAAGUACAACAAAGGCACUACUGACCUCGACAAGAGGCACAACAUUUGUGGAGGGCAGAGAAAUUCACAAUUCAGGACACACGAUGACCACGAUUUGAAUGCUGCAACUGAGACGGAAUGACGUCAUUGGGACACACUCUGAGACCUCCAGUAUGACUCGACUUGGGCCGGAUAUUUGUGACAGAUCUAAAAUGGGUGCCGAAGCACACCAACAUCCCAUUUUAUGUUUAUUCUAUGGCCAACCAUCUCUCUAGCUCCCCAUUAUGCCAUUUCUGCCCCAGGGUCAAUGGUCCCUCAACUUCAGACACUUUGAAACUCUCCAUCUUAUCUCUAGAAACCCACCCUUCCUUCACCCAUUAAGGUUGACUUAAAUUCAGAAGUGUAUAUAUUAUGUAUGAAAGGCACAUGUAUGCAUUGUUUACUAUUUUGAUUUAUUUAAAACAAUGUAAUUGUUGGUUCAGGUGUUUGACGUGAUUGAUGGGGGACUAGGUGCCUUCUUGUCAAAUAAAACAUGCUUAUUCAUUCAUGAUUACGGAUACAUUCUGCAAUGAGUUAAUCUGGCUUUGAAUAUUCAACAGAAAACGUCAAGUUAGUUCUAAAUUGCUUUUAUAGAGCAGUGCAUUCGGACACUAUGAAUUUAAAUAUAUUUCACCUUGUUCAUAUAGUUGUCAGAAAUGAUAAGCGAUUAAAUUAAAGACCUCCACUGGCUGAAGGAGAAGAGGAUCUGGUAAAGUAAGUAUGUUGCUAAUAUCAUCUAGGUAGGUACAGUUGAAGUCAGAAGUUUACAUACACAUUAGCAAAAUAUAUUUAAAUUAAGUUUUUCACAAUUCCUGACAUUUAAUCCAAGUAAAAAUG
Oncorhynchus nerka (sockeye salmon) is the source of this 947-nucleotide long non-coding RNA. RefSeq lists it as uncharacterized. The record is from RefSeq and is a predicted model, not a curated record. The transcript is spliced from 3 exons. NCBI's taxonomy places the organism in Eukaryota, Metazoa, Chordata, Actinopteri, Salmoniformes, Salmonidae.